CCUACGGGGAGGCUGCAGUGGGGAAUAUUGGACAAUGGGCGAAAGCCUGAUCCAGCCAUGCCGCGUGUGUGAAGAAGGCCUUCGGGUUGUAAAGCACUUUCAGUGGGGAAGAAAGCCUUGGGGCUAAUACCCUCGAGGAAGGACAUCACCCACAGAAGAAGCACCGGCUAACUCCGUGCCAGCAGCCGCGGUAAUACGGAGGGUGCGAGCGUUAAUCGGAAUUACUGGGCGUAAAGCGCGCGUAGGCGGUCUGAUAAGCCGGUUGUGAAAGCCCCGGGCUCAACCUGGGAACGGCAUCCGGAACUGUCAGGCUAGAGUGCAGGAGAGGAAGGUAGAAUUCCCGGUGUAGCGGUGAAAUGCGUAGAGAUCGGGAGGAAUACCAGUGGCGAAGGCGGCCUUCUGGACUGACACUGACGCUGAGGUGCGAAAGCGUGGGUAGCAAACAGGAUUAGAUACCCCGGUAGUC
RNAcentral lists this ribosomal RNA (466 nucleotides) under Vreelandella stevensii. RNAcentral's name for it is "partial 16S ribosomal RNA". It matches the Rfam family "Bacterial small subunit ribosomal RNA", at positions 338 to 795 of the family's 1533-position model. The record is from RNAcentral. Lineage: Bacteria; Pseudomonadati; Pseudomonadota; Gammaproteobacteria; Oceanospirillales; Halomonadaceae.